This 1435-nucleotide long non-coding RNA is filed under the name Parus major (Great Tit). RNAcentral's name for it is "lncRNA (ENSPMJG00000015045.1)". The record is from RNAcentral. Lineage: Eukaryota; Metazoa; Chordata; Aves; Passeriformes; Paridae.
UGCUUUACACAGCGCUCUGCAUCUAAUCUCGAGACCUGUCUGUGAGGUAAACUGGUUAUUGCCCCCAGCCUAAGUAUAAGCAAACUGAAGCAGAAAGAACUGAUGUGAUUUGCCCUGGGCCAUGUUGGCCUCCUCUCACUCACAUCCUCCCUAAUCCUCAUGUAGUCCUCUAAUUACCCUCUCCUGGUUGCAGUGGAGGGAUAUCCCUGUGCCCCUGCUGUGGCAGCUCUCCUGACUCCUGAUCUGCAGCUGCUGCUUCAUGGAGGAUAAAGGUUUUAAGGCACCAGCCACCACCUCUGGCCAUUGCCCCCAAACCCUGAAACACUUUUAAAUGGGGGGCCUGAAGGUUAAAUAAAGCUGCACUGGGAGCCCUGGACAGGGGCAGGGUGAGAGGAAGGUGCAUUAGCAGAAAUGGGCAGGAGCUACAGAUGGAAAUGUUAAAUGAAUGAGUAAACAUGGACUGAGUAUCCUUAUACCAUCCUGGCUAGCUAGAAUCACUUAGAUCUCUAUGUAUGACAGCAUACAAUAACACUUCCUUUCAGCACAGGGCCUAAACCUACAGGGCCCAGUUCAUCCCAUUAGUUACCUCUCUAGGGCCAGCAGUUAUUCCAGGAGUGAAUACAGUCUAGAUAUAUUAAACUUUUCAUUAUUUAUGUAAAUCACAGUGGCUUGGCAGAGCUUACGCUUUCAAGAGCUUGGUGGAAAUUUCCUCCUGCCUGAGCAGUACCGAGGCAAUGGGAUGGGAGGGCCACAUAUCAGUUGAUAUUUUUAGACUGGGUGACAAAUUUGUCAAUACCCUGGUGCUGGACACUGUGUUCCUGGGUGUUUACAAAGCAGUGUCUGCUUAAGCAGCUGAGUGCAGCUGAGGGGAAGAGCAGCUGGCACAGAAGUACCUUGUCAGACACUAAGGUCUCCUUCCUGUUGAAGGCUCCUCCAUUGCAGCAGCAGAGAAAUACCUUCUGGGGCACCCAGCACCGUGGCUUCCUCUGCCCCAGGCCUGCAUGGGUGCUGCUCCAGACAUCUGUCAGACAGCACCCCACAAUGUUAGGAAGGAGCCCGAGCUAAACUACUCCCUUUGGGCUCUAGGGCAGCAGCCAAGUGUGCCCAGGGUUCUCCCGUGAAGCAGAGGGUGAUGAGGAGCACCUCUUCUAGUAUUUGAAUCUGGGCUGGCAGAGAAAAGAUUUUACCAUGAGUCAGUGCUAGGACAAGGAGGAUGAGCUAAGAAGAGGUAUGUAUCUCAAGACAACAGGAUGAAGAAGCAUUUUUCUAUGAAAGACUUUUAAUUAUAGGGUUUUGGGGUUUUUUUGGUGGGGGGAGGCAGGUGUUGGUGGUUUUUAGUUGGGUGUUUUUGGGGGUUUAUUUACGUUUCUGGGGUUUUGUUUUGUUUUUGUUGGUUGGUUGGUUGGGUUUGGGUGUUUUGUUUAAUUUUCUUCUA